UAGGGAAUCUUCCGCAAUGGACGCAAGUCUGACGGAGCAACGCCGCGUGAGUGAAGAAGGAUUUCGGUUCGUAAAACUCUGUUGUUAGAGAAGAACAGCGCAUAGAGUAACUGUUAUGCGUGUGACGGUAUCUAACCAGAAAGCCACGGCUAACUACGUGCCAGCAGCCGCGGUAAUACGUAGGUGGCAAGCGUUAUCCGGAAUUAUUGGGCGUAAAGCGCGCGUAGGCGGUUUUUUAAGUCUGAUGUGAAAGCCCACGGCUCAACCGUGGAGGGUCAUUGGAAACUGGAAAACUUGAGUGCAGAAGAGGAAAGUGGAAUUCCAUGUGUAGCGGUGAAAUGCGCAGAGAUAUGGAGGAACACCGGUGGCGAAAGCGGCUCUCUGGUCUGUAACUGACGCUGAGGCUCGAAAGCGUGGGGAGCGAACAGG
Molecule: ribosomal RNA, 429 nt
Filed under: Bacteroidota bacterium
Lineage: Bacteria; Pseudomonadati; Bacteroidota
Description: Bacteroidetes bacterium partial 16S ribosomal RNA
Rfam family: Bacterial small subunit ribosomal RNA
Source: RNAcentral